GCCGGGUGCGGUGGCCCACGCCUGUAAUCCCAGCCGCUUGGGAGGCUGAGACAGGAGGAUCACGAGUUCAAAGCCAGCCUCAGCAAAAGUGAGGCACUAAGCAACUCAGUGAGACUCUGUCUCUA
RNAcentral lists this small RNA (125 nucleotides) under Marmota monax (woodchuck). Lineage: Eukaryota; Metazoa; Chordata; Mammalia; Rodentia; Sciuridae. The record is from RNAcentral.